UGGGUUUGACAUGUACGUAGUAGUGAAGGGAAACCGGAACGACUCUUCGGAGAGCGUACACAGGUGCUGCAUGGCUGUCGUCAGCUCGUGUCGUGAGAUGUUGGGUUAAGUCCCGCAACGAGCGCAACCCUCGUCGUUAGUUACAAGUGUCUAGCGAGACUGCCGGUGUCAAGCCGGAGGAAGGUGGGGAUGACGUCAAGUCAGCAUGGCCUUUAUGUCCAGGGCUACACACACGCUACAAUGGGCAGUACAAUGGGCAGCGAAGGGGCGACCUGGAGCGAAUCUCAUCAAAGCUGUUCGUAGUUCGGAUUGUAGGCUGCAACUCGCCUGCAUGAAGC
This 338-nucleotide ribosomal RNA is filed under the name uncultured bacterium. RNAcentral describes it as "bacterial SSU rRNA". It matches the Rfam family "Bacterial small subunit ribosomal RNA", at positions 976 to 1326 of the family's 1533-position model. The record is from RNAcentral.